UGACACAUUUUGGGUAUCUUAGCGUUCCAUUCAAGCAUUUUACUUUUAGCAGCUUAGGAUCAGAUAUUCCGAAUGUUGGUAAGCAUUUAAAUUGCACAAUCUUGUCAUGAACC
Molecule: long non-coding RNA, 113 nt
Organism: Nanorana parkeri
Lineage: Eukaryota; Metazoa; Chordata; Amphibia; Anura; Dicroglossidae
Exons: 3
Source: RefSeq, a predicted model, not a curated record